UUGAAUGCUAUUGAUAAGCACAGGGCUCA
RNAcentral lists this non-coding RNA (29 nucleotides) under Rattus norvegicus (Norway rat). Lineage: Eukaryota; Metazoa; Chordata; Mammalia; Rodentia; Muridae. The record is from RNAcentral.